UCAUGCGAGUCGAACGAGAAAACUCUCUUCGGAGAGUGAGUACAGUGGCGGACGGGUGAGUAACACGUGGGUAAUCUGCCCUUGGGUUGGGAACAACACUUCUAACGAGGUGCUAAUACCGAAUAACAAGACCGAUUGCGAAAUUGGUUUUUAAAGGUGGCCUCUACUUGUAAGCUGCCGCCUGAGGAUGAGCCCGCGCCGUAUUAGCUUGUUGGUGGGGUAAUGGCCUACCAAGGCAACGAUGCGUAGCCGGCCUGAGAGGGUGAACGGCCACACUGGAACUGAGACAAGGUCCAGUCUCCUACGGGAGCCAGCAGUCUAGAAAUUUGCACAAUCGUCGAAAGGCGGAUGCAGCGACACCACGUGGAGGAUGAAGCCCUUCGGGGUGUAAACUCCUGUCAGUUGGGAAGAAGGCGCGAGUGUUAAUACCACUUGUUGCUUGACGGUACCUUCAGAGGAAGCUCCGGCUAACUACGUGCCAGCAGCCGCGGUAAUACGUAGGGAGCGAGCGUUGUUCGGAUUUACUGGGCGUAAAAGAGCACGUAGGCGGGCAUGCAAAGUCGGUUGUGAAAUCCUCUGGCUCAACCAGAGAACUGCAAUCGAAAACUGCAUGC
This 614-nucleotide ribosomal RNA is filed under the name uncultured marine bacterium. RNAcentral's name for it is "bacterial SSU rRNA". It matches the Rfam family "Bacterial small subunit ribosomal RNA", at positions 53 to 640 of the family's 1533-position model. The record is from RNAcentral.